RNAcentral lists this ribosomal RNA (260 nucleotides) under uncultured bacterium. Its description in RNAcentral is "partial 16S ribosomal RNA". It matches the Rfam family "Bacterial small subunit ribosomal RNA", at positions 1241 to 1500 of the family's 1533-position model. The record is from RNAcentral.
AAAGAGAAGCGAAGCGGUGACGUGGAGCAAACCUCAGAAAGCCAAUCUCAGUUCGGAUUGUAGGCUGCAACUCGCCUACAUGAAGUUGGAAUCGCUAGUAAUCGCGAAUCAGAAUGUCGCGGUGAAUACGUUCCCGGGUCUUGUACACACCGCCCGUCACACCACGAGAGUUUACAACACCCGAAGUCAGUGGCCUAACCGCAAGGAGGGAGCUGCCUAAGGUGGGGUAGAUGAUUGGGGUGAAGUCGUAACAAGGUACC